This 937-nucleotide ribosomal RNA is filed under the name uncultured bacterium. RNAcentral's name for it is "bacterial SSU rRNA". It matches the Rfam family "Bacterial small subunit ribosomal RNA", at positions 545 to 1503 of the family's 1533-position model. The record is from RNAcentral.
UCUCGAGUACUGGGCGUAAGGGUGUGUAGGGGGUCGGGUAAGUUUGACGUGAAAUCCCGUUGCUCAACAACGGAACUGCGUCGAAUACUGCUCGGCUGGAGGUUCGGAGAUGAGGGCGGAAUUCUCGGUGUAGCGGUGAAAUGCGUAGAUAUCGAGAGGAACGCCGACGGCGAAAGCAGCCCUCAAGACGAAAUCUGACCCUGAAACACGAAGGCCAGGGGAGCAAACGGGAUUAGAUACCCCGGUAGUCCUGGCAGUAAACGGUGCUCAUUAGAUGUAGGCGGAUUCGACCCCGCCUGUGUCGAACCUAACGGAUUAAAUGAGCCGCCUGGGAAGUACGGUCGCAAGAUUAAAACUCAAAGAAAUUGACGGGGGCCCGCACAAGCGGUGGAGUAUGUGGCUUAAUUCGAUGCAACGCGAAGAACCUUACCUGGCCUUGACAUGCUUAGUUCAGGCGUGGAAACACGCUGGCCCGCAAGGGCGAUUUGCACAGGUGCUGCAUGGCUGUCGUCAGCUCGUGUCGUGAGAUGUUGGGUUAAGUCCCGCAACGAGCGCAACCCUCGUGGUUAGUUAUUCCCGGGCAACCGGAAUCUGACCAGACUGCCCUGUGAAACGGGGAGGAAGGUGGGGACGACGUCAAGUCCGUAUGGCCCUUACGGCCAGGGCUGCACACGUACUACAAUGCCCAAUACAGAGGGACGCAAGACCGCAAGGUGGAGCUAAUCCCGUAAAGUUGGGCCCAGUUCGGAUUGGAGGCUGCAACUCGCCUCCAUGAAGUUGGAAUCGCUAGUAAUGGCGCAUCAGCUACGGCGCCGUGAAUACGUUCCCGGGCCUUGUACACACCGCCCGUCACAUCAUGAAGCCGGUCUUACCCAAAGUCGCCCCCGGGUGCCUAAGUAAGGCUGGUGAUUGGGAUGAAGUCGUAACAGGUACCCGU